Molecule: ribosomal RNA, 387 nt
Filed under: uncultured bacterium
Lineage: Bacteria
Description: bacterial SSU rRNA
Rfam family: Bacterial small subunit ribosomal RNA
Source: RNAcentral
AUUGAACGCUGGCGGCAUGCCUUACACAUGCAAGUCGAACGGCAGCACGGGGGCAACCCUGGUGGCGAGUGGCGAACGGGUGAGUAAUACAUCGGAACGUGCCCUGUAGUGGGGGAUAGCUCGGCGAAAGCCGGAUUAAUACCGCAUACGACCUACGGGUGAAAGCGGGGGAUCGCAAGACCUCGCGCUACAGGAGCGGCCGAUGUCAGAUUAGGUUGUUGGUGGGGUAAAGGCCUACCAAGCCGACGAUCUGUAGCUGGUCUGAGAGGACGACCAGCCACACUGGGACUGAGACACGGCCCAGACUCCUACGGGAGGCAGCAGUGGGGAAUUUUGGACAAUGGGCGCAAGCCUGAUCCAGCCAUGCCGCGUGCGGGAAGAAGGCCU